Molecule: transfer RNA, 90 nt
Filed under: Aureobasidium namibiae CBS 147.97
Lineage: Eukaryota; Fungi; Ascomycota; Dothideomycetes; Dothideales; Saccotheciaceae
Rfam family: tRNA
About the family: Transfer RNA (tRNA) molecules are approximately 80 nucleotides in length. Their secondary structure includes four short double-helical elements and three loops (D, anti-codon, and T loops).
Source: Rfam by way of RNAcentral
GCCGGGGUAGCUCAAUCGGUAGAGCGUGUGGCUCUUAUCAGCAUUGAUAUUCCAACCUCAAGGUCGCGGGUUCGAGCCCCGCCUUCGGCU